This is a non-coding RNA of Danio rerio (zebrafish), 628 nucleotides long. The record is from RefSeq and is a predicted model, not a curated record. Lineage: Eukaryota; Metazoa; Chordata; Actinopteri; Cypriniformes; Danionidae.
GUCAUGAUUAUAAAGGAUUCUUGGCAUGGAAUGAUAAAUAAUAAAUUAAAAAAAGAACGAAAGCCUCUUGUUGACAGGAAUUUCAUCAAUGAGCCAGGACAAUAUUUCAGAAAAGGAAAAAAAACAAAGCCUGGCUGAAAAUGUUACUACAAUUGUAGAUAUGACUACAACGGAUGAAUUUAGUAUUAACCAGCACAUCAUCAAGACGAAGGCAGAGUGUGAAAAAACCCCCGAACAUUUUCAUGCUCGAGGAUAAAAUGAAGAGAACUGAGACGGAGAGAGAGGUCUUCAUAAAAGAGAGGACCACUCAAGAAGUUCUAAAUCAGUACCCUGCCUUGCGCUUGCCGGCAAUUAAAUGAAAUCAAAAUCUACCAUAGAUGUAGACAGGAGAAUACUGACUGGAUUUGGGACCAGGGCAGAGAAAAUACUCACUGAGGUACAAAGAAGAGGUGUGGCAAAUGAAAUACUGACCAUGUACAACAAUGCACUAAAAUCACAUGUAGAAGAGGCACAUAAAGUUCUUGUGUUGCCAUACCUGCUCCACGAAGAUCCAUCAGGACUUUAUGUUAUAAAUGAGAUAUGUUUAGUCCCACCCUCCUUGUUAACCCAUUAUUAGUUAAUUAUGUUC